Molecule: ribosomal RNA, 639 nt
Filed under: Vishniacozyma victoriae
Lineage: Eukaryota; Fungi; Basidiomycota; Tremellomycetes; Tremellales; Bulleribasidiaceae
Description: eukaryotic LSU rRNA
Rfam family: Eukaryotic large subunit ribosomal RNA
Source: RNAcentral
GCAUAUCAAUAAGCGGAGGAAAAGAAACUAACUAGGAUUCCCUUAGUAACGGCGAGUGAACCGGGAUGAGCUCAAAUUUAAAAUCUGGCGUCUUUCAGGCGUCCGAGUUGUAAUCUAUAGAGGCGUUUUCCGCGCCGGACCGCGUCCAAGUCUCUUGGAAUAGAGUAUCAAAGAGGGUGACAAUCCCGUACUUGACGCGACAACCGGUGCUCUGUGAUACGUGCUCAAUGAGUCGAGUUGUUUGGGAAUGCAGCUCUAAAUGGGUGGUAAAUUCCAUCUAAGGCUAAAUAUUGGCGAGAGACCGAUAGCGAACAAGUACCGUGAGGGAAAGAUGAAAAGCACUUUGGAAAGAGAGUUAAACAGCACGUGAAAUUGUUAAAAGGGAAACGAUUGAAGUCAGUCGUGUGAAAGGUAUUCAGCCGUCUCUGGCGGUGUAUUUGCCUUUCACGGGUCAACAUCAGUUUGAUCCGGUAGAAAAAGGCAGGAGGAAGGUGGCACCCUCGGGUGUGUUAUAGCCUCUUGUCAUAUGUGCCGGACCAGACUGAGGAACGCAGCUUGCCGCAAGGCCGGGGUUCGCCCACGUACAAGCUUAGGAUGUUGACAUAAUGGCUUUAAACGACCCGUCUUGAAACACGGACC